CGUAGGGGGCGAGCGUUGUCCGGAUUUAUUGGGCGUAAAGAGCUCGUAGGCGGUUUGGCAAGUCGGGUGUGAAAACUCCGGGCUCAACUCGGAGACGCCACUCGAUACUGCCAUGACUCGAAUCCGGUAGGGGAGUGCGGAAUUCCUGGUGUAGCGGUGAAAUGCGCAGAUAUCAGGAGGAACACCGGUGGCGAAGGCGGCACUCUGGGCCGGUACUGACGCUGAGGAGCGAAAGCGUGGGGAGCGAACAGGAUUAGAUACCCUGGUAGUCCACGCCGUAAACGUUGGGCACUAGGUGUGGGGCUCGAUCGACGGGCUCCGUGCCGUAGCUAACGCAUUAAGUGCCCCGCCUGGGAAGUACGGCCGCAAGGCUA
RNAcentral lists this ribosomal RNA (374 nucleotides) under uncultured organism. RNAcentral describes it as "bacterial SSU rRNA". It matches the Rfam family "Bacterial small subunit ribosomal RNA", at positions 526 to 896 of the family's 1533-position model. The record is from RNAcentral.